Oncorhynchus mykiss (rainbow trout) is the source of this 588-nucleotide non-coding RNA. The record is from RefSeq and is a predicted model, not a curated record. NCBI's taxonomy places the organism in Eukaryota, Metazoa, Chordata, Actinopteri, Salmoniformes, Salmonidae.
ACAGAGAGAGAGAGAGAGAGAGAGAGAGAGAGAGAGAGAAUAGUGGUGGAGAUAUUGUAUUAGCAAUGUUGUUUUCUGUCACAAUAACAGACGUUCAUCAAUGGGCUUAAAUCAGUCAGUCAUGUCUGGAUUGGUCUGACUGACUCUGUUACUGAGGGGACCUGGAAAUGGGUGAACGGAACCCCACUGACCACCCCAAGGUAUUGGAGGAGUGGAGAGCCUAAUGGUGGUGGCGUGGAGAACUGUGUGGUGGUACCUUACUGGUCAUCAGGCCAAGGAGAUUGGUGGGACUAUCAGUGUUCUAAUCGAGAGUACUGGAUCUGUGAAAAAGGCCUGUUGUAGGUACUGCUGUUUAAAGAACUCUGAAGACUGAUUAUAGAUUUUGGGAAAAUGGCACUAUGAACAAGACGUUGGAGAGAGAGAGGCACGUACACACACACACACACACACACACACACACACACACACACACACACACGGAAGCAUUCACACACAGAAAACAAAUUAGGUAUUUACACUACCAGUCAAACUUUUGGACACACCUAAUCAUUCCAGGUUUUUUUUUUAUUCUACAUUGUAGAUUAAUAG